UGUGCGGGGCAUGCAAAGCA
Molecule: unclassified non-coding RNA, 20 nt
Filed under: Chlamydomonas reinhardtii
Lineage: Eukaryota; Viridiplantae; Chlorophyta; Chlorophyceae; Chlamydomonadales; Chlamydomonadaceae
Description: small RNA Cre_3589
Source: RNAcentral